This 74-nucleotide transfer RNA is filed under the name Patescibacteria group bacterium. Its description in RNAcentral is "tRNA-Asp". It matches the Rfam family "tRNA". Rfam says of the family: Transfer RNA (tRNA) molecules are approximately 80 nucleotides in length. Their secondary structure includes four short double-helical elements and three loops (D, anti-codon, and T loops). The record is from RNAcentral.
GCGGCCAUAGCUCAGCUGGUUAGAGCGCUCGCCUGUCACGCGAGAGGUCGGCGGUUCAAAUCCGCUUGGCCGCG